This 64-nucleotide transfer RNA is filed under the name Anterhynchium abdominale. RNAcentral describes it as "tRNA-Thr". Lineage: Eukaryota; Metazoa; Arthropoda; Insecta; Hymenoptera; Vespidae. The record is from RNAcentral.
AGCUUUAUAGUUUAAAUAAAACAGUAAUCUUGUAAAUUAAAAUUAAAUAUUAAUUUUAAAGCUU